Molecule: long non-coding RNA, 217 nt
Organism: Nothoprocta perdicaria
Lineage: Eukaryota; Metazoa; Chordata; Aves; Tinamiformes; Tinamidae
Exons: 2
Source: RefSeq, a predicted model, not a curated record
CGUUGUGCAGGAGGAGAAGGUCAGAGCGCUGGACAGAGCGCUCAGCGAGCUGCAGCAGCAGAUGCAGCAGCCGCCCUCGGGAGACGCGGCCGCGGAGCCGCAGCAGGAACCUCAGGUUUCCAACAAUCUGGAGCAGGAACCAGCAAACGUGGAUGCUGCCACAAACCUCUUAUCUCAGCUGUGAUGCAUAAUAAAUGAUGCAGGGAUUCCAAGAAAG